AGCGGCAUGGCGCAGUGGGAGCGCGCCGGACUCAUAACCCGGAGGUCACUUGAUCAAAACAAGUUGUCGUUA
This 72-nucleotide transfer RNA is filed under the name Chaetomium sp. MPI-SDFR-AT-0129. It matches the Rfam family "tRNA". From Rfam's summary of the family: Transfer RNA (tRNA) molecules are approximately 80 nucleotides in length. Their secondary structure includes four short double-helical elements and three loops (D, anti-codon, and T loops). The record is from Rfam by way of RNAcentral. Lineage: Eukaryota; Fungi; Ascomycota; Sordariomycetes; Sordariales; Chaetomiaceae.